AGUGAACGCUGGCGGUAGGCCUAACACAUGCAAGUCGAACGGCAGCACAGUAAGAGCUUGCUCUUACGGGUGGCGAGUGGCGGACGGGUGAGGAAUACAUCGGAAUCUACUUUUUCGUGGGGGAUAACGUAGGGAAACUUACGCUAAUACCGCAUACGACCUACGGGUGAAAGCAGGGGAUCUUCGGACCUUGCGCGAUUGAAUGAGCCGAUGUCGGAUUAGCUAGUUGGCGGGGUAAAGGCCCACCAAGGCGACGAUCCGUAGCUGGUCUGAGAGGAUGAUCAGCCACACUGGAACUGGGACACGGUCCAGGCUCCUACGGGGGGCAGCAGUGGGGAAUAUUGGACAAUGGGCGCAAGCCUGAUCCAGCCAUACCGCGUGGGUGGAAGAAGCCUUCGGGUUGGAAAGCCCUUUUGUUGGGAAAGAAAAGCAGCAGGUUAAUACCCCGCUGUUCUGACGGUACCCAAAGAAUAAGCACCGGCUAACUUCGUG
Molecule: ribosomal RNA, 492 nt
Filed under: uncultured bacterium
Lineage: Bacteria
Description: partial 16S ribosomal RNA
Rfam family: Bacterial small subunit ribosomal RNA
Source: RNAcentral